RNAcentral lists this transfer RNA (71 nucleotides) under Lamennaisia nobilis. RNAcentral's name for it is "tRNA-Lys". It matches the Rfam family "tRNA". Rfam says of the family: Transfer RNA (tRNA) molecules are approximately 80 nucleotides in length. Their secondary structure includes four short double-helical elements and three loops (D, anti-codon, and T loops). RNAcentral also lists the same sequence under 1 other name. The record is from RNAcentral. Lineage: Eukaryota; Metazoa; Arthropoda; Insecta; Hymenoptera; Encyrtidae.
CAUUUGAUAUCUUAAAUUAAAGAAUUGGUUUUUUAAGCCAAAUUAUAGUAAUUUAUUCUUACUUCAAAUGA